This 946-nucleotide long non-coding RNA is filed under the name Numida meleagris (helmeted guineafowl). RNAcentral's name for it is "lncRNA (ENSNMEG00000011958.1)". Lineage: Eukaryota; Metazoa; Chordata; Aves; Galliformes; Numididae. The record is from RNAcentral.
AUGCCUCUUAAAUUUUUUCUUCUCACAGGGUCUCCAAUGAAAGAAGGUGUUCUGAUUAAGCAAGCGUUCAAACUCCUUCACAGCAAUCUGUCACUGUACAGAAAUCCUAAAUGCUGGGGUUCCUUCAUCAUGAUUAUGGGUAGUAGCAGUUUUCUAGAAAGAAAUGGGCACCUUCGUCCCCUGACAGUGAAGGAGCCACCGAUUGCGUUCCAGCAGGGGGUGCUGACUGCCACUGAUGGUCUCUUCCAGGAGCUGAAGGCAAAAGUUAAUGUUUCUUUCCCACCUGGUAUCUUCUCCCAAUUGCACCAGGAGGCUUGUCUUAUUCUUGCAGUGCAAGCAGUACAACAGAUGGUUGUCUGUGAACUCCCAUACUUAACUUCCUUCCUAGAGAUAUUCCUGGCGUUUGGGAAUAACUUCUGGGCUCUGAGGCUGUUACUGAAUCAUCUUUCCUAUGAUGAGCACAUUCUCCAUGGCAUUGUCAAUCUGGUUUUGAGAGAUUUGAAUCGUCAGAAAGCAACAAUGCUGAAACUAUGGCAAAACCUUGGUCCCCAGUACGUGGGUGAAUUUGUUUGCCUGUUCCUGACUUGCAGAAACAGGAUAUUGCAAUCCAUUGGUUUGUUCACUCUGGAUGUCAUUACGGAGAACUUGCACAUGUGUCCGUGGGCAAAGCACCUUUGCAACUUCUUUCACAAUGCAGGGUUAAUGCACCUCCCCCUUGGCGCCGCAACUCAUCACGAAGUCUCAAAGUUCAUAGAUAUUCUUGAAAAACUGUGAUCUGGCAAAAUCUGCAGGCGUGUUUCUCAGCUUGCCUUGGUCUGCCCCGUCGCUCCCUGGGUUCUCUCGCGUUCCGUUUUGGUUGCAGUCUCUUCCCUCCCUUGAAACGUUCACCUACAAACUGACUUCAGACAAAGCGCGAAAAUAAAAGCUCAGAUCUAGAUGGGGAACA